GCCGAGUAAUACUCAAGCUCGGCUUGAAAUGAAUUUCGAGCCUUUUAUUUUGUUCAAGCUCGGCUCAUUUAAUUUCGAGUCGAGCUCGAGCGAGCCAAAUAUCGAGCCGAACACGAGUCGAACGCGAGCCGGCUCGCUCGUUUGCCAGCCCUAUUGAUUAGUGUCACAGGCUGCUCCAUUUAAUUUAGAAAAAACUUCAAAUAUCCCCCCAUGCGAUUUAGUACUUUUUCACCAUAGUACAAUUGGUUUACAGUUUAUUACUUCAGUACUCUACGGUGUCAUUUUUCUCUUUUCGUCAGCACUCCGUUAACUCACCGUUAAAAUAUAUAAAAAAAACUUCAAAUAUUUUCUUGUGGUUUAUCAAAUAUUCACUUUAAUACCCUAUAUUUUAUAAAAUUUUUAUUUUAGCACCCAGUAGUUUUAACUUUCUCACUGAUUAUUUAAAAUAUUAACAGA
This 456-nucleotide long non-coding RNA is filed under the name Ananas comosus (pineapple). RNAcentral's name for it is "long non-coding RNA (ACOM_LNC016334)". Lineage: Eukaryota; Viridiplantae; Streptophyta; Magnoliopsida; Poales; Bromeliaceae. The record is from RNAcentral.